GCAGUAAAUGGUCAACCUGAUGAGUCGAACCGGCGACCUCUGCUACAAGGACUAUAGCCUCUAAACGCGGGACGCUUAGACCGCUAGGCCACCAACGCCCCAAAACUACUGUGACUUACAUGUCUGCUGAUCCUACAGAUUCCCACCAGCUGCUGUGCUCCUGCUCUGUAGGCCAGCUAAGCUAAUUCCCACAUAUAAAUUGAACAUGUUUUCAUAGCAAUGCGACUGAAGGAAAAAACAGUUUCACAACCUAAUAAAUGAGUAAAAGUGUCAUUAAUUAUGAAUGCAGAGUGAGUGUAUAAAUAAAAACUUGGACUAAGCACUCUGGGGAAAGUCAAAUGUGAAAUAUUGUCACAACAAAGCACGGUGUGAAAUUGUAAAGAGGUGGAAAAUUUGAUGAAUUGCCAGAGAUGUUGAAAGAUACUCCUUUAUGCUAAAUUCCCUUUUACAAUGUGAACCGUGUAAUGUUUAUAGUGCUGCUGUGUAAUUAAACUACUCAAUUUCUAAGAUUUAUUAUGGAUACAUUGUACUUGGAUUUUAAGAAAGGGGACAUCUGAGGUUUAACCUUUGUAUUUGGCAGUAAAGUCUCUGCUGUCUGGAUGGUCUAAGCCUGAUUAUAGUAUCUGGCUUAUGUGAUGUGUUCCACCUUAAAUGAUCCUUCGAUCAGCCUUUGAAUAUGGACAGAGUGGGGUCCUGGGAAAUAAAGGAAUCUGGAGUACUUAA
Notolabrus celidotus (New Zealand spotty) is the source of this 723-nucleotide long non-coding RNA. RefSeq lists it as uncharacterized. The transcript is spliced from 2 exons. Lineage: Eukaryota; Metazoa; Chordata; Actinopteri; Labriformes; Labridae. The record is from RefSeq and is a predicted model, not a curated record.